AUUGAACGCUGGCGGCAUGCCUUACACAUGCAAGUCGAACGGCAGCACGGGAGUAAUCCUGGUGGCGAGUGGCGAACGGGUGAGUAAUAUAUCGGAACGUGCCCAGUCGUGGGGGAUAACGCAGCGAAAGCUGUGCUAAUACCGCAUACGAUCCCGGGAUGAAAGCGGGGUACCGUAAGGCGUCGCGCGAUUGGAGCGGCCGAUAUCAGAUUAGCUAGUUGGUGGGGUAAAGGCCCACCAAGGCGACGAUCUGUAGCUGGUCUGAGAGGACGACCAGCCACACUGGAACUGAGACACGGUCCAGACUCCUACGGGAGGCAGCAGUGGGGAAUUUUGGACAAUGGGCGCAAGCCUGAUCCAGCAAUGCCGCGUGCAGGAUGAAGGCCUUCGGGUUGUAAACUGCUUUUGUACGGAACGAAACGGCGAGCUCUAAUAAAGUUUGCUAAUGACGGUACCGUAAGAAUAAGCACCGGCUAACUACGUGCCAGCCGCCGCAGUAA
This 500-nucleotide ribosomal RNA is filed under the name uncultured bacterium. RNAcentral's name for it is "partial 16S ribosomal RNA". It matches the Rfam family "Bacterial small subunit ribosomal RNA", at positions 30 to 523 of the family's 1533-position model. The record is from RNAcentral.